RNAcentral lists this transfer RNA (107 nucleotides) under Candidatus Bathyarchaeota archaeon. RNAcentral describes it as "tRNA-Tyr". It matches the Rfam family "tRNA". Rfam says of the family: Transfer RNA (tRNA) molecules are approximately 80 nucleotides in length. Their secondary structure includes four short double-helical elements and three loops (D, anti-codon, and T loops). Further hydrogen bonds mediate the characteristic L-shaped molecular structure. tRNAs have two regions of fundamental functional importance: the anti-codon, which is responsible for specific mRNA codon recognition, and the 3' end, to which the tRNAs corresponding amino acid is attached (by aminoacyl-tRNA synthetases). tRNAs cope with the degeneracy of the genetic code in two manners: having more than one tRNA (with a specific anti-codon) for a particular amino acid; and 'wobble' base-pairing, i.e. permitting non-standard base-pairing at the 3rd anti-codon position. The record is from RNAcentral. Lineage: Archaea; Thermoproteati; Candidatus Bathyarchaeota. RNAcentral also lists the same sequence under 1 other name.
CGGGCGGUAGCUCAGCUUGGCAGAGCUUCCGGCUGUAGACCGGACCGUCGCAGGAGAACCAUGGCUAGCCCAUGGUUCGGCGAAUUCAAAUCCCGCCCGCCCGACCA